Non-coding RNA from Camellia sinensis, 442 nucleotides. Lineage: Eukaryota; Viridiplantae; Streptophyta; Magnoliopsida; Ericales; Theaceae. The record is from RefSeq and is a predicted model, not a curated record.
UGUUCAUUCGCAGGUAUGGCUAAGGACUUAUGGGUCAAUUGCUUGGGCUGUUUGAAAUGCCUGAUCAUUAGAUUUUUCUUAACUAAUUCAUGCAUUGAAUCAAUUUUACAGCACUGCUACAAAUGUUGAGAUUGAGUUGCCUGUUCCAGUCGAUGCUACCAACCCAAAUGUUUGGACAUCAUUGGGAUCUGCUUCAUAUGCACCAGAAAAUGAUGCUUUGAUCUGGAAAAUUAAAUCUUUUCCUGGUGGUAAGGAAUAUAUGCUUAGAGCGGAGUAUACUCUUCCCAGUAUAACAUCUGAAGACGCAGCUCCUGAGAGAAAAGCUUCUAUACGUGUGAAGUUUGAGAUACCAUAUUUUGUUGUUUCAGGAAUCCAGGUUCGUUACCUAAAGAUUAUCGAGAAAAGCGGCUACCAAGCUCUUCCAUGUGUGAGAUACAUAACC